GACGAACGCUGGCGGCGUGCUUAACACAUGCAAGUCGAACGGAAAGGCCCUGCUUUUGUGGGUUGCUCGAUUGGCGAACGGGGGAGAAACACGUGAGUAACCUGCCCUUGUCUUUGGGAUAACUUCAGGAAACUGCGGCUAAUACCGGAUAGGAGCUCCUGCUGCAUGGUGGUGGUUGGAAAGUUUCGGCGGUUGGGGAUGGACUCGCGGCUUAUCAGCUUGUUGGUGGGGUAGGUGCUUACCAAGGCUUUGACGGGUAGCCGGCCUGAGAGGGUGACCGGCGACAUUGGGACUGCGAGACGGCCCAGACGGCAACGGGAGGCAGCAGGGGGGAAUAUGGCACAAUGGGCGGAAGUCUGAUGCAGCAACGUCGCGUGCGGGAUGACGUGUUUCGGGUGGUAAACCGCUUUCGCCGGUGACGAAGCGUGAGUGACGGUAAUGGGUAAAGAAGCAACGGCUAACUACGUG
RNAcentral lists this ribosomal RNA (468 nucleotides) under uncultured bacterium. RNAcentral's name for it is "partial 16S ribosomal RNA". It matches the Rfam family "Bacterial small subunit ribosomal RNA", at positions 28 to 507 of the family's 1533-position model. The record is from RNAcentral.